AAGCCAUCAGCAAGUCAGAGCGGCUGCAGGAGGAGACCCACACCUCCACGUUGGACUUCUCGCCUCCAGCACUGGAUUGUUUACAUAGCGUCUGACGGUGUGAGACCGGGCAGUUUGGAGCCGUUGUGGAAUAGUUGGCGGUACACUCUUUGUCGUGUUGCUUUUAACGUAUUUGUGUGAAUUUCAAGUGUUACAUUUCAUACCAGAACCUGAAAUAAACGAAUGACUGCUUUCUUGAUG
Cervus elaphus (red deer) is the source of this 240-nucleotide long non-coding RNA. RefSeq lists it as uncharacterized. Lineage: Eukaryota; Metazoa; Chordata; Mammalia; Artiodactyla; Cervidae. The record is from RefSeq and is a predicted model, not a curated record. The transcript is spliced from 3 exons.